ACUGCUCAGUAACACGUAGUCAACAUGCCCCAGGGGACGUGGAUAACCUCGGGAAACUGAGGAUAAACCGCGAUAGGUCAUCACUUCUGGAAUGGGUAAUGACUUAAAUCUAUAUGGCCCCUGGAUUGGACUGCGGCCGAUCAGGCUGUUGGUGAGGUAAUGGCCCACCAAACCUGUAACCGGUACGGGCUCUGAGAGGAGGAGCCCGGAGAUGGGCACUGAGACAAGGGCCCAGGCCCUAUGGGGCGCAGCAGGCGCGAAACCUCUGCAAUAGGCGAAAGCUUGACAGGGUUACUCUGAGUGAUUUCCGUUAAGGAGAUCUUUUGGCACCUCUAAAAAUGGUGCAGAAUAAGGGGUGGGCAAGUCUGGUGUCAGCCGCCGCGGUAAUACCAGCACCCCGAGUGGUCGGGACGUUUAUUGGGCCUAAAGCAUCCGUAGCCGGUUCUACAAGUCUUCCGUUAAAUCCACCUGCUUAACAGAUGGGCUGCGGAAGAUACUAUAGAGCUAGGAGGCGGGAGAGGCAAGCGGUACUCGAUGGGUAGGGGUAAAAUCCGUUGAUCCAUUGAAGACCACCAGUGGCGAAGGCGGCUUGCCAGAACGCGCUCGACGGUGAGGGAUGAAAGCUGGGGGAGCAAACCGGAUUAGAUACCCGGGUAGUCCCAGCUGUAAACGAUGCAGACUCGGUGAUGAGUUGGCUUAUUGCUAACUCAGUGCCGCAGGGAAGCCGUUAAGUUUGCCGCCUGGGGAGUACGGUCGCAAGACUGAAACUUAAAGGAAUUGGCGGGGGAGCAC
This 792-nucleotide ribosomal RNA is filed under the name uncultured archaeon. Its description in RNAcentral is "bacterial SSU rRNA". It matches the Rfam family "Archaeal small subunit ribosomal RNA", at positions 85 to 879 of the family's 1478-position model. The record is from RNAcentral.